ACGGGAUCGUCUGAGACCCUCCACCCAGACAGCUGAUAAAGAAUGUCUCCUUUGGGUGUCUGGUGUUGGCAGCUGCACUUCCUCCCUCAUAUGGGCCCMAGUCACCUGAGGACGACUAGAAUUAAGUCUGAGGCCGGUAACAUCAACAGUGAGGACAAACCCAGCCUGCCCCUCUCUUUCCACACUGAGUUCAAACCUACAUUCACUGGGUCCUGAUUGUGACAGUGGAGCCCAGUUUGCUCUGCAGGAUCCAGAGAUGGCAUCAGUGAAACUGGAGGACUGCAGUCAAACACUGGAGCUGAAUGUCAACAUUAAAUAUGAAGAAGAGGGGAAUAUUGGGAAGUCUGUUAGUUAGAACCUGCUCUUACCAUGACUAAGAGACCAUGUUGAGACAUUCUCUACAUCCAGAGAGCAACAGCAGGAAGAUCACAGAGCUAAGAGGUCUCA
Salvelinus sp. IW2-2015 is the source of this 447-nucleotide non-coding RNA. NCBI's taxonomy places the organism in Eukaryota, Metazoa, Chordata, Actinopteri, Salmoniformes, Salmonidae. The record is from RefSeq and is a predicted model, not a curated record.